This 426-nucleotide ribosomal RNA is filed under the name uncultured bacterium. Its description in RNAcentral is "bacterial SSU rRNA". It matches the Rfam family "Bacterial small subunit ribosomal RNA", at positions 355 to 773 of the family's 1533-position model. The record is from RNAcentral.
UGGGGAAUUUUGGACAAUGGGCGCAAGCCUGAUCCAGCCAUGCCGCGUGAGUGAAGAAGGCCUUCGGGUUGUAAAACUCUUUCGGCCGGGAAGAAAUCGUGUUCUCUAACAUAGGACAUGGAUGACGGUACCGGACUAAGAAGCACCGGCUAACUACGUGCCAGCAGCCGCGGUAAUACGUCGGGUGCGAGCGUUAAUCGGAAUUACUGGGCGUAAAGCGUGCGCAGGCGGUUUUGUAAGACAGAUGUGAAAUCCCCGGGCUUAACCUGGGAACUGCGUUUGUGACUGCAAGGCUGGAGUACGGCAGAGGGGGGUGGAAUUCCACGUGUAGCAGUGAAAUGCGUAGAGAUGUGGAGGAACACCGAUGGCGAAGGCAGCCCCCUGGGCCUGUACUGACGCUCAUGCACGAAAGCGUGGGGAGCAAAC